Molecule: ribosomal RNA, 461 nt
Filed under: uncultured bacterium
Lineage: Bacteria
Description: bacterial SSU rRNA
Rfam family: Bacterial small subunit ribosomal RNA
Source: RNAcentral
GGGCCCGCACAAGCAGCGGAGCAUGUGGUUUAAUUCGAAGCAACGCGAAGAACCUUACCUAGACUUGACAUCCCCUGAAUUACUCGUAACGGAGGAAGUCCUUCGGGACAGGGAGACAGGUGGUGCAUGGUUGUCGUCAGCUCGUGUCGUGAGAUGUUAGGUUAAGUCCUGCAACGAGCGCAACCCUUAUCAUUAGUUGCUACCAUUAAGUUGAGCACUCUAGUGAGACUGCCGUGGUUAACGCGGAGGAAGGUGGGGAUGACGUCAAAUCAUCAUGCCCCUUAUGUCUAGGGCUACACACGUGCUACAAUGGUGAGUACAGAGAGAAGCAAUACCGUGAGGAGGAGCUAAACUCAAAAACUCAUCUCAGUUCGGAUUGUAGGCUGAAACCCGCCUACAUGAAGCUGGAGUUGCUAGUAAUCGCGAAUCAGCAUGUCGCGGUGAAUACGUUCCCGGGCCUU